UACGGGGGGGGCAAGCGUUGUUCGGAAUUACUGGGCGUAAAGGGCUCGUAGGCGGCCAACUAAGUCGGAUGUGAAAUCCCCAGGCUCAACUUGGGAACUGCAUCCGAUACUGGAUGGCUUGAAUUCGGGAGAGGGAUGCAGAAUUCCAGGUGUAGCGGUGAAAUGCGUAGAUAUCUGGAGGAACACCGACGGCGUAGGCAGCGCCCUGGACGACACCUGACGCUGAGGCACGAAAGCUGGGGGAGCGAACAGG
Molecule: ribosomal RNA, 253 nt
Filed under: uncultured bacterium
Lineage: Bacteria
Description: partial 16S ribosomal RNA
Rfam family: Bacterial small subunit ribosomal RNA
Source: RNAcentral